GGGUUGUGAGGUUAAGCGACUAAGCGUACACGGUGGAUGCCCUGGCAGUCAGAGGCGAUGAAGGACGUGCUAAUCUGCGAUAAGCGCCGGUAAGGUGAUAUGAACCG
Molecule: ribosomal RNA, 107 nt
Filed under: Salmonella enterica subsp. enterica serovar Oranienburg
Lineage: Bacteria; Pseudomonadati; Pseudomonadota; Gammaproteobacteria; Enterobacterales; Enterobacteriaceae
Also listed under: 2 other names
Description: partial 23S ribosomal RNA
Rfam family: Bacterial large subunit ribosomal RNA
Source: RNAcentral